RNAcentral lists this non-coding RNA (45 nucleotides) under Schistosoma bovis. The record is from RNAcentral. Lineage: Eukaryota; Metazoa; Platyhelminthes; Trematoda; Strigeidida; Schistosomatidae. RNAcentral also lists the same sequence under 1 other name.
CUUCAGCUGACGAUUCCCGAAUGAGACGAAACGCGCGUCCUGAAU